GGGUGGAGGUGGAGGAGGGGGUGGCGGCGCUGGCGGCUGUUGAUUGCUGACUCAUGCACCAAACAUGGCACUCGGAUGUUGGAUGAACGCUAGAAUGCUCGUUCGGCUGCCUGUAAAAAAGAUAGCGCAAUUUACAAAUAAUGUACAAUUUAGGUCCUUUUACGUUAGCUUUAUUCUAUUAAUUUUUUUAGAUAAACUUUAUUCUAAUAAACUGUUAACGUGAGAUUGUGUAUAUACUUAUAUGUAGUUGUACAUGGUGAUAAAUAUAUGGUUAAUUUUUUUUAAAAUAUUUAAU
This 295-nucleotide unclassified non-coding RNA is filed under the name Hevea brasiliensis (rubber tree). Lineage: Eukaryota; Viridiplantae; Streptophyta; Magnoliopsida; Malpighiales; Euphorbiaceae. The record is from RNAcentral.